This is a long non-coding RNA of Mercenaria mercenaria, 1193 nucleotides long. RefSeq lists it as uncharacterized. The transcript has 3 exons. The record is from RefSeq and is a predicted model, not a curated record. Lineage: Eukaryota; Metazoa; Mollusca; Bivalvia; Venerida; Veneridae.
GACUAAAAAUGCACGGGAAAAUCGUUCUACUUUGUACGUGCCCCUGGUUAAUGUGAUGUAAACAUGAUAGCGAUAUACGUACUGAAAGAAACUGAUAUAUACAUACCUAGAAUGUUCAAAAGGAUUCAUGGAUGAAAUAUAAGUGACAGUUACUCAGAAGGGGAUAAAUAUAGAAUUUAAGAAUUGAAUCCGUCCUAAAAGGGUUACUAUAUAAAUAACAUAUUGCAGUGAGUGUGUUAUACGUAUAUAUACAUACCUAGAAUGUUCAAAAGGAUUCAUGGAUGAAAUAUAAGUGACAGUUACUCAGAAGAGGGUAAAUAUAGAAUUUAAGAAUUGAAUCCGUCCUAAAAGCCUUACUAUAUGAAUAACAUAUUGCAGUGAGUGUGUUAUACGUAUGUAUACGUAUUCUUACAAUUAGCUAAUACUAAUCUAUUUUAAGCCGACCAUUCUGAAGUAGUUCUACAACUUGUGUUAAUCACUCUCGACACACAAUUCCUAAUGGAAGAGAAGCCCCUCUGCAUGUUGAACGCCAAGCAAGGAAGCUAUUGGUUCAGAUGUAAAAAGGCGAAUUUGCACCAAAAAUUGCAAGCCUUCUCCUGGGCACAGUCGCACAACGUCAGCCGAUACAAAUGUAACGUGAAUGCCACAGCCCAUUUCUGGCGGAACUAACAUGUUAUCUUGGGAAACAUCGGACGGUGUCAUCAGCGUUUCAAGAUGAACAACAGAUGAUUAUUAAAGAAUUAAAGACCUCCUCCCGUCCUACCUUUAACCUUAAAUUGUCACUGAAAAAGCAUGAAAAUCCUGACUAUGAACAGUGCCGCCUGUCAAAAUAGAGCCUAUUUUAUAUUAAAUUCUAUAUAAAAUACCUUUGGUUUUGUGUGCAGAAGUGUGGCACGUGGCCGUUAACUGUUACCUAUUGUAAUCAUGGGUUGCAUACACACAAUAGAAUUUGAAUAGCCGCGGAGCAGAUCUUUAAAGCAAUACCGAUUACAUUAUAUUACAUUGAACGAAAAAUGAUUAAGAACCCGUGAUAACGGUCAUAGAAGUCAGACACCUUACCACAACUCCGCUGUGUAAUUGGUUAACUAUAUAGGUUUUUUAAUAAUGUAGAUAUUUUCAGGAAACAAAUAUUGCGUAAACUAACGAAAACACCCACAAAUAUUGGCGAAUAUUAAUUAGUGCAAGGCCAAUAC